AGGUGCAGCUGGUGGAGUCCGGGGGAGGCUUAGUUCAGCCUGGGGGGUCCCUGAGACUCUCCUGUGCAGCCUCUGGAUUCACCUUCAGUAGCUACUGGAUGCACUGGGUCCGCCAAGCUCCAGGGAAGGGGCUGGUGUGGGUCUCACGUAUUAAUAGUGAUGGGAGUAGCACAAGCUACGCGGACUCCGUGAAGGGCCGAUUCACCAUCUCCAGAGACAACGCCAAGAACACGCUGUAUCUGCAAAUGAACAGUCUGAGAGCCGAGGACACGGCUGUGUAUUACUGUGCAAGAGAUACGAGGGGUACUGGGGCCAGGGAACCCUGGUCACCGUCUCCUCA
Molecule: long non-coding RNA, 340 nt
Filed under: Homo sapiens (human)
Lineage: Eukaryota; Metazoa; Chordata; Mammalia; Primates; Hominidae
Description: non-protein coding lnc-BRF1-31:1
Source: RNAcentral